This is a long non-coding RNA of Biomphalaria glabrata, 941 nucleotides long. RefSeq lists it as uncharacterized. The transcript is spliced from 2 exons. The record is from RefSeq and is a predicted model, not a curated record. NCBI's taxonomy places the organism in Eukaryota, Metazoa, Mollusca, Gastropoda, Planorbidae.
UAUAAGUUAAUAUAGACAUGUGUAUAAAUAAUCUUUAUUUUUCUCAAAGCUUUUGUGAUGUUUGUUUUAUAUAGAUAUUAUAAUAUAGAUCUUUUUUUUUUUAAUAUGGUGAUCUACAGGUUCUGUUGGAGCACAACAAUGGGCCAGUUUCUGGGUGUUAACUGUGUGUCUUGAGAAGAUGAAGCAAUUAUUAGGACCCAAGUUUUGAAGAACCCCUAGGAGAAGCAGUUGAUGAGUUGAUAAGUGUGUUGCUGUUUGCUGAUAGAAGACUAUUGAGCUACUUCACCACUAAGAACAAGUUUGUGAUUGUAACCUUUGAGUAAUGCCUGAAGUCCAGUUCAGCUGUAGAUUAUGUAGUCAAAUAUUUUUUUUUUAAAUAUUGUUAAUUAUUGAUUACCUUAUUGAAACAAUUAUCAUUAUUCUUUACCAAACUAAUUUCUAUUAUAAUUUUUUUGUUUGUUCUAUUCUAUAUAAAUAAUCACUAUACGUUAUGUUCAUGGAAACACCCCUGGGUGUCAAUUAUUACUAGAAUAAUUUGCUUCUAUGUUCCUGUCAAUCAUUAGCCUUCAUUAAUAUGUGAACAGUUUCUAUUUCUUAGACUGUAGCUACUUCUGUUUAGUCCUAGAUUUAUAGUAAGAUAAAUGUUAUUUAAAAAACAAAAUGUGGUUAAGAUUUUACAUUUGCAAUGAGAUUACUCUUCACAACUCCUGAACCAGGUUAAUUCAAGUACAGACAACUCUUUGCAAUGAGAUUACUCUUCAUAACUCAAUUAGGUUAAUUCAAGCACAGACAACUCUUUCAAUUUAGAAAAGAGCAGUUGUAACUUACUUUCCAGAGAAGGAACGACUGCAAUAAGGACAAAUAAAUCCUUUAGGCUGGUGAGAUUUCAAAUGGGACUUCAUUGCUUGGAUCACACAGGAGGAAAAGUCACAUGUCUUACA